GGGGGUAUAGCUCCGUGGUAGAUCCACUGCAGAUCAAGAGGUCCCUGGUUCAACUCCAGGUGCCCCCU
Molecule: transfer RNA, 68 nt
Filed under: Colius striatus (speckled mousebird)
Lineage: Eukaryota; Metazoa; Chordata; Aves; Coliiformes; Coliidae
Rfam family: tRNA
About the family: Transfer RNA (tRNA) molecules are approximately 80 nucleotides in length. Their secondary structure includes four short double-helical elements and three loops (D, anti-codon, and T loops).
Source: Rfam by way of RNAcentral